This 535-nucleotide long non-coding RNA is filed under the name Setaria italica (foxtail millet). RNAcentral describes it as "long non-coding RNA (SITA_LNC003828)". The record is from RNAcentral. Lineage: Eukaryota; Viridiplantae; Streptophyta; Magnoliopsida; Poales; Poaceae.
UUCGGCCGCCGAAUUUUGGCCGUGCCGAGGCUUUGGCAGGGCUGGCGUGCGGCAGAAUCCAAACGUCCCCGAGGAGACGAGGGCGGCGGCGAGCGAGCAGCUGCCGCUGGCGAACGUGUGCAGGAUGUCAGUGCCGGGGAGCUCGUUGCGCGUAAGCCCAUUCAGCCCUUGUUUUCCCAACUCCUAACUUUGACACUACGUAAAAAGAAGAUUCCUCAUCACAUCAAACUUGCGGUACAUGCAUGGAGUACUAAAUGUAGAUGAAAUUAAAAACUAAUUGCACACUUUUGUUGUACUUUGCGAGACGAAUCUUUUGCGCCUAAUUAGUCAAUGUUUGAACAAUAAUUCACAAAUGCAAACGAAACGUUACAGUGUACUACAGUGCUGGUAUAUAAUUUUAGCACUCUAAAUUUUAGCAACUAAACAAGACCUCAUUCAUGUGUGCGUAUCGGUGGCCCAUGAUUUUUCUAGCAGGUGCUCUGGAAUCUGGCUGGACUGCAGGGGCCAUCGGUGAUGGCAGGCAUAGAGUCCCAAC